RNAcentral lists this ribosomal RNA (516 nucleotides) under uncultured bacterium. Its description in RNAcentral is "bacterial SSU rRNA". It matches the Rfam family "Bacterial small subunit ribosomal RNA", at positions 9 to 526 of the family's 1533-position model. The record is from RNAcentral.
GAGUUUGAUCCUGGCUCAGGAUGAACGCUGGCGGCGUGCUUAACACAUGCAAGUCGAACGGGAAAUAUUUCAUUGAGACUUCGGUGGAUUUGAUCUAUUUCUAGUGGCGGACGGGUGAGUAACGCGUGGGUAACCUGCCUUAUACAGGGGGAUAACAGUCAGAAAUGGCUGCUAAUACCGCAUAAGCGCACAGAGCUGCAUGGCUCAAUGUGAAAAGCUCCGGUGGUAUAAGAUGGACCCGCGUUGGAUUAGCUGGUUGGCAGGGUAACGGCCUACCAAGGCAACGAUCAGUAGCCGGUCUGAGAGGAUGAACGGCCACAUUGGAACUGAGACACGGUCCAAACUCCUACGGGAGGCAGCAGUGGGGAAUAUUGCACAAUGGGGGAAACCCUGAUGCAGCAACGCCGCGUGAUUGAAGAAGUAUUUCGGUAUGUAAAGCUCUAUCAGCAGGGAAGAUAAUGACGGUACCUGACUAAGAAGCUCCGGCUAAAUACGUGCCAGCAGCCGCGGUAAUAC